AAUAUCAGAAGGAACCGCGCAAGCGACUCUCUGGUCCAAACUGACGCGAGUGUCGAAAGCUAGGGUAGCAAACGGAUUAGAUACCCCGGUAGUCCUACCCGUAAACGAUGGCACUAAGUAGAGGGUUUGAUUAUUUCUCUGCCGGAGCUAACGCAUUAAGUGCCCCGCCUGGGGAGUACGGCCGCAAGGCUAAAACUCAAAAGAAUUGACGGGGGCUCGCACAAGCGGUGGAGCAUGUGGCUUAAUUCGAUGCAACGCGAAGAACCUUACCGGGGCUUGACAUGGUAGAAGUAGAAUCCUGAAAGGGUGAACGAUCGGUAUCCAGUCCGAAGCUAUCACAGGUGUUGCAUGGCUGUCGUCAGCUCGUGCGUGAGACGUUGGGUUAAGUCCCCUAACGAGCGAAACCCUUGUCUUUAGUUGCUAACGGGUAAUGCUGAGCACUUUAGAGAGACUGCCGUCGUUAAGACGAGANWNAGACGACGUCAAGUACAUUCAUGCCAUUAUGUCCCGGACUGCACACGUGCUACAAUGGUCGGUACAAAGGGAUGCUAAGUCGACGAGAUGGUGACGAAACCUAAUAAAGCCGAUCUCAGUUCAGAUUGGAGGCUAGAAACUCGCCAUCACAUGAAGUUGGAAUCGCUAGUAAUCGCGGAUCACGUACGCACGCGGUGAAUAUGUUCACCGAGCUCUUAGUAUCACACUCGCCCGUCAAUGCUCACCACAAGCAAGAUGCACCACAAAAUCGCCUGCCUAACCCGUAAGGGAGGGAAGUGACCUAAGGUGUGUUUUAGUGAGAAGGACUAAGUCGUAACAAGGUAACC
Molecule: ribosomal RNA, 821 nt
Filed under: uncultured bacterium
Lineage: Bacteria
Description: bacterial SSU rRNA
Rfam family: Bacterial small subunit ribosomal RNA
Source: RNAcentral